This is a long non-coding RNA of Glycine soja, 1415 nucleotides long. RefSeq lists it as uncharacterized. The transcript is spliced from 3 exons. The record is from RefSeq and is a predicted model, not a curated record. NCBI's taxonomy places the organism in Eukaryota, Viridiplantae, Streptophyta, Magnoliopsida, Fabales, Fabaceae.
UGGUUAGUUCCCGUAAAUUUAAUUUACUCUUACAUGUUAAGGUUUAAAUCAAAUUUUGAUAUCUGUUAAUAUAACCUAGAUGUUGAUUCUACUAACGAGGAAGAAGACUUAGGUGCUCUUACCACCACAAAUCCAAUGCAUUAAGGAUAUUUUGAUAUUCUAGGUCCAAUUAUGCAAUGCAAAGAGUGCCAAGCAAUGAUGUGGUAUGAUGAGAGGAUAGACAAGUAUAGGGAUGUUGCCAAUCUGAAAUUCAACCUUUAUUGUGGCAAUGGGAAAGUUCAGUUACCAUUCUUACAACUAGUACCUCAAUUGUUGCAACAUCUCUUAUUUGAUAAAUUUGCAAGUGAAGGCAAGAACUAUCAACAAAAUAUUCAGAUGUAUAAUACGAUGUUCGCAUUUAUGUCUCCUGCAGCAAAGGUUGACAAAACUAUAAACAAUGGAAAAGGGCCACCAACUAUCCAUAUUCAGGGUCAGCCAUGCCAUAGGAUUGGUAGCCUUCUGCCUCCGUCUGGUGGUGUACCAAAAUUUGCAUAGUUAUACAUUUAUGAUAUUGAACAUGAAGUUCAAAACAAAGCUGUUAGUGAUAGGAAUAAUGUUGACCCUAAUAUUGUGUCAAGAUUAAUAGCUAUCUUAGAUGAACAUAAUUCUCAUGCAAAAUCCUUUCAUAUGGCGAGAGAUAGACUAAAAGAGAAAAAUUUGUCAGAUCUCAAGCUAAAACUCAUUGCUAACCGCGUCAAGGAUGGUCGAAUAUAUAAUAUCCCAACUGUAUCAGAAGUUGCUGCAUUGUUUUUAGGGGAUGUAGAUACAAUCUCAACUAGGGAUAUCAUUCUAGAGACAUGAGGUGGCGAUUUGCAAAGAAUAAAUGAGUUACACGCCAAUUAUUUAGCAUUACAAUAUCCACUUUUGUAUCCCUAUGGUGAAGACAGAUAUAGGCAUGACAUUCUUCACAAGGUGACAUUUCUUGGUCAAGCUUGAAAGAGAGUGCACCUUAAAAUAAGGGAAUGGUUUUCUUUUAGACUACAAUUGAGGCCAGUUGAAGCGCAAACACUUUUGCAUUCAAGGAAUCUUUUCCAAGAAUUUGUUGUUGACGAUUAUACCAUGGUGGAAUCAGAGAGACUUGCUUUCAUCGGGAUGAAUCAAUCAAAGUUAAGAGUUGACAAAUAUUCUAAUUAACACCAAUCCUCUGAUGAAGGUACUACUCAAGGAUCAAAUAGAGGAAAAAGAAUCAUCUUGCCUUCAACACUUGUUUGCAGCCCUAGGUACAUGGAACAACUAUAUUUUGAUGGUAUGGUUAUAUGUAGUAAUACAGGAUUUCCCGAUUUAUUUAUCACAUUUACGUGUAAUCCUAAUUGGCUCGAAAUACAAAGAUUGUUGUCUCCAAUGAAUUUGAAAGUUAUGGAUAGACCUGAUGUUAU